Molecule: unclassified non-coding RNA, 489 nt
Filed under: Artemisia gmelinii subsp. scheludjakoviae
Lineage: Eukaryota; Viridiplantae; Streptophyta; Magnoliopsida; Asterales; Asteraceae
Description: partial external transcribed spacer
Rfam family: Eukaryotic small subunit ribosomal RNA (bases 428-489)
Source: RNAcentral
CGUAAAGGUGGAUGAGUGGUGUUUGGUUUGUUACGUGUGGUUGGCUGCGGCGUUUGCAACAACUUCCAUGCUUUCAGACCUCUUCAGUUGUGCGGCAAGGCUUGUAUCGCCUUGAGCGUAUAGUGGGUUUUCUGUGUUGGCUACCUAAUCAACGGUAUCGGUUGGAUUGAUCAAAGUUUGAUUUCGUCUUCCGUCACAUUCGUGGCGUGAGGUGAACCUCGAUGCGGUCUCUUUGAUCCACCUCGUCGAAGCACAUGCUUUGACGUUGUGGCGCAUUGAGCAUUGCUUGGUCUCUUGUAUACGGAACAUAUAGUGGGCAUGGAUCUAACGAUUCUCGUUUGCCCUCAUAUUAGCGUAACGCUUCUCUUACACGACUUGCUCCACGUUUUAGCUCGUACGGACGUGGUGCUAUGUCGAAGAGGAAUGCUACCUGGUUGAUCCUGCCAGUAGUCAUAUGCUUGUCUCAAAGAUUAAGCCAUGCAGGUGUAA